CCUACGGGGGGCUGCAGUCGAGAAUCUUCCGCAAUGGACGAAAGUCUGACGGAGCGACGCCGCGUGGUGGAUGAAGCCCUUAGGGGCGUAAACACCUUUUAUGAGUGAAGAGGUUUAUUGACAUUAGCUCAUGAAUAAGGGGCUCCCAACUCUGUGCCAGCAGGAGCGGUAAUACAGAGGCCCCAAGCAUUAUCCGGAUUCACUGGGCGUAAAGGGUGCGCAGGCGGUGAUGUUAGUCGGGUGUUAAAUCCUCAGGCUCAACCUGAGGCUCGCAUUCGAAACGGCAUCACUAGAAGAAGUCAGAGGUAAGCAGAACUCUCGGUGUAGGGGUGAAAUCCGUUGAUAUCGAGGGGAAUACCAAAUGCGAAGGCAGCUUACUGGGACUUUCUUGACGCUGAGGCACGAAAGCAUGGGUAGCGAACGGGAUUAGAUACCCGAGUAGUC
This 444-nucleotide ribosomal RNA is filed under the name uncultured bacterium. RNAcentral describes it as "bacterial SSU rRNA". It matches the Rfam family "Bacterial small subunit ribosomal RNA", at positions 338 to 795 of the family's 1533-position model. The record is from RNAcentral.